This 229-nucleotide long non-coding RNA is filed under the name Helianthus annuus (common sunflower). RNAcentral describes it as "sRNA HanXRQr2_Chr15g0711371". Lineage: Eukaryota; Viridiplantae; Streptophyta; Magnoliopsida; Asterales; Asteraceae. The record is from RNAcentral.
CUCAUGAAAACAUUAACCCUUGAGGUUUCAUAGUGUCAAGAACAACUACUUGGUGUUAAAGGAUGAUUACUUUCAAAUACAUAUAUUCUUGUGUUUUAACUUCCUAAGUCCCUAAACGAACAUAUUCAACCUUGUAACCUCAUCAACUUCGUCACAUUGGAUAAUCGGAAAGCAUAUGCAAACUUUGUUGAGGAUGAUGAUGCUAUGAAAUGAAGUAGCGUUGAUGCCU